AUAAUAGGCAGGCAGACGGCUCGUUAUUAAGUCCUGGGGCCAGAACCAGAUAGACCCCAGGCACCUCCUCUGAGGGACAGUAGGUCAUUUCAAAACCUGUCGCCUCCUCCCCCUACGCCCCUGUCCUGUCCUCUGCGAAGACAAGACGGUUCGGUUCGGGUGGUGAGUGUUGUAAAACUGAGGAAACAACGGGGGAAAAUCGGGCCACCCACCUACUCCAGCCGCGCUGCCGGGCGGCGUGUGUGAGGCUCAAUUCCCGCGCGCUCCGCCAGCGCGAAUUCCGAACCUGCGCCCUUGACCGCGCCUGAAGCUGGGGAGGGGGCGUCGUUCAGCGUGGAGCGCCCGCGCUGCCCGCCAGAAACGCCGCCCCAGUUUUGGCAGCAGCGAUUUUCCUAGAAGACGCCUGGGUUUGCGAAGAUCGAGAUCUAUUCAGGAUGACACACACUUCUGUACAAAGUGCCCUCUAACACGUUCAGGUCACCAGUGUAGUGUCUGCCUCAGUCCAUACCUGGGAGUGCUUUGAGUGAUUCUCCUGCAGAUUUAUAUUAGGCAAGAUGACUGAAAAUAUCGGAACAAGAUGGCCUUUUUGAAAAGAAACAUCUGAUAUUCAGGAACUGAAGAAAGGAAGUGAAAUGGUUUGAAUAUGGAGGACAGGAACUGUUGUCUUUCCAGUUAUGGGUAGGGGAGGGAGGAAUGGGAUGACCAGGUAUUUAACCCUUU
Tupaia belangeri chinensis (Chinese tree shrew) is the source of this 720-nucleotide long non-coding RNA. RefSeq lists it as uncharacterized. The transcript has 3 exons. Lineage: Eukaryota; Metazoa; Chordata; Mammalia; Scandentia; Tupaiidae. The record is from RefSeq and is a predicted model, not a curated record.